RNAcentral lists this ribosomal RNA (336 nucleotides) under Triticum aestivum (bread wheat). RNAcentral's name for it is "partial small subunit ribosomal RNA". The record is from RNAcentral. Lineage: Eukaryota; Viridiplantae; Streptophyta; Magnoliopsida; Poales; Poaceae.
AUGGUUCUCGUUCUUCACUACCCCGUGUCUCCUUUCCCUCUCCUCGCACCGCUGCUGGACACCGAUCCUGUGCCUCCUGCCCUGCUUCAAGUACGCGGCGAUGACCGCUGCUGCCGGAUCACCCUUCAGCGACGCAGAGGGCCAGGGCGACACAACGCUCGCCGCCAGUCCCCGAUCCCGCGCCUCCAGCCCCUGCUUCCCACACGCGGUGAAGCGGCCGCUGGAGUGGGAGCGGCCUUCGGCGGCGAGGAGGCACAGGGCGACAUGGCGGGCGGUGGCGCUGGUGCUCCCCAGUGCAACCACUCCGACGAUAGCUACAACAGCCGACUUUCUUAA